RNAcentral lists this ribosomal RNA (253 nucleotides) under uncultured bacterium. RNAcentral's name for it is "partial 16S ribosomal RNA". It matches the Rfam family "Bacterial small subunit ribosomal RNA", at positions 524 to 776 of the family's 1533-position model. The record is from RNAcentral.
UACGAAGGGGGCUAGCGUUGCUCGGAAUCACUGGGCGUAAAGGGUGCGUAGGCGGGUCUUUAAGUCCGAGGUGAAAUCCUGGAGCUCAACUCCAGAACUGCCUUUGAUACUGAAGAUCUUGAGUUCGGGAGAGGUGAGUGGAACUGCGAGUGUAGAGGUGAAAUUCGUAGAUAUUCGCAAGAACACCAGUGGCGAAGGCGGCUCACUGGCCCGAUACUGACGCUGAGGCACGAAAGCGUGGGGAGCAAACAGG